This 253-nucleotide ribosomal RNA is filed under the name uncultured bacterium. RNAcentral describes it as "partial 16S ribosomal RNA". It matches the Rfam family "Bacterial small subunit ribosomal RNA", at positions 524 to 776 of the family's 1533-position model. The record is from RNAcentral.
UACGUAGGCAGCGAGCGUUGUUCGGAGUUACUGGGCGUAAAGCGUGCGUAGGCGGUGUCUUAAGUUUGUUGUGAAAUCUCCCGGCUUAACCGGGAGGGUGCGGCGAAUACUGAGAUGCUGGAGUGCCGGAGAGGUAAGCGGAAUUCCUGGUGUAGCGGUGAAAUGCGUAGAUAUCUGGAGGAACACCGGUGGCGAAGGCGGCAUCCUGGACCGACACUGACGCUGAGGAGCGAAAGCCAGGGGAGCAAACGGG